Molecule: long non-coding RNA, 1112 nt
Organism: Astyanax mexicanus (Mexican tetra)
Lineage: Eukaryota; Metazoa; Chordata; Actinopteri; Characiformes; Acestrorhamphidae
Exons: 2
Source: RefSeq, a predicted model, not a curated record
UUCAUAUUCAUAAAGUUUUAAGAGUUCAGAAAUCAAUAUUUGGUGGAAUAACCCUGGUUUUUAAUCACAGUUUUUUUCAUGCAUCUUGGCAUCAUGUUCUCCUCCACCAGUCUUACACACUGCUUUUGGAUAACUUUAUGCUGCUUUACUCCUGGUGCAAAAAUUCAAGCAGUUCAGUUUGGUGGUUUGAUGGUUUGUGAUCAUCCAUCUUCCUCUUGAUUAUAUUCCAGAGGUUUUCAAUUUGGUACAUAUAUUAAAUAUAUAUGGUAUAUAUUUGGUAUAUAUAUUAAAAUAUAAAAAAUAAUUUAAAAAUUCAAAUCUACUUGAUUCAAAACUGAAUUUAUGCCACAGGUGAGACAUUCUGGAAAGUAACUUUUUUUAUGAAAAUGUAUCGAUCUUAAAUACUAAAAUGAGAAAAUUGUCAGUUAUUUUAAAAUGUUUUUUAUUUUUAUUUCAUAAAACAGCUAAUUUUACAGAAAAAAACAUGAAUUAUGCCUUUAAAUAUUUAAUUAAAGUUGAUUAAAAUCAUUGAAACAUACAAAAUACAGAUUUAAAUACGUCGGUUAACUUUUAAUUAUGUUUUAGCAAACACAGUAUAAAAAUAGAUUUAAAAAGUAUUUUUACCUUCCUGUUCAGAUGUCAUUUUAAAAAUAUAUUUUUUGUUUAACAGUAUCAGCCUUUCAACAGCUUAGUGUACGAUUUAUCUCUGCUUGCCAUUGCAAAAGUUCGUAAACUUCUCGUAAACUUGUCUUGUUUGUGUAGUUUCAGUGUCCUCAACCUGGCAACCCAUGUUUGCUUCAUGUCUAGGGAGGAAGUGGGCGGGGCAGGGCGGUACAUUGUUUUAAUAUUGGACUGCAGUAGUUAUUUUACAUACUUACUGUCAUUUAGUACAUAUAAUUCCUUUCCAAUUGAAUUUUAUAGAAAAUAAAAGUUCAGAAAACGAUGUUUUUGCCUUGAAAUUAUUGAUUUUAUCCCCCAAAAAUAUACAGUUUGUUAUUGUAAUUGUUUUAUUGUAUUAUAUGUUGUUCUACAUUCAUACAGAAACCCCCAGGUGGAUAUGUUGCCUAAUUGUCAAUCAAUUUUUAAUAAAUUUGUGUAAUAUUGACUUUUUA